AAUGGACAACUCAGAACACCACUCCGAAGCCCUGGGAAAAAAGUUCAUCUCUACAUUUGACUCCAUGGUCCUGUACUGGUGAAUGUGGCACCACUGGAGCGGUACUGCAGGAACCAUUGCUUUCCCAGAGCAGAUCACAAAAAGGUCUGCAGUGGUUCUUCUGAAGCAGUUUUUUAUGAAGGAGCAUUUGUAUGGACACCCGUGUUUUAGAUAAGAAACUGUGUGGUGAACACCACUGGAUAGUUAACACGAAAAUGAUUCAUUCCCACAGCACUGGCAAGUGCAGAGAUUUCCAAGCCCAGGCCCAAGCACGGAGGUUUUUUAAGCCUUAUUGAAGAGAGUGGGAAGUCUGUUAGAGUAAAAGGAAAGGCUCAUUCACCAAAUCUGGAUUGAGAAGGUCAGUAUGUAACUGUAGUAUUAGGGACUUCCUCCCAGACUCAUGGUAAGAGCACGAGUCCUUGUAUAGCACGAGUACUUCCUACACAAAACACCUAUAUCUGUGAUCAAGACAAUGACAAGGUAUGUUACAGAAAGAAGAAAGGCUUUCUUUCCGUGAAGAUGUCUGUGUGAUUUUUUUUUUUUCCUCUGAAAGAUAUUUGAGACUUUCAAUCACUGGCAAUGAAAUUAUAAUCUACUUGUCUCCUAAAAUAAAAAAU
This 656-nucleotide long non-coding RNA is filed under the name Gallus gallus (chicken). Its description in RNAcentral is "lncRNA (ENSGALG00010003452.1)". The record is from RNAcentral. Lineage: Eukaryota; Metazoa; Chordata; Aves; Galliformes; Phasianidae.